RNAcentral lists this unclassified non-coding RNA (395 nucleotides) under Hevea brasiliensis (rubber tree). The record is from RNAcentral. Lineage: Eukaryota; Viridiplantae; Streptophyta; Magnoliopsida; Malpighiales; Euphorbiaceae.
GUCUUUCCGGUGAGAUAAUCGAGAAGGGGUUUACGGUCAGGUAGGGUAACCGCCGGAAUACGAAGAGAACGAGAUUGCUGAAUGUAUUCAGUGUGUUUAAGGUGGUGAUUGGUGAUGAAGUUGAUUAGGGUUUCGAGAGUGUACCGAUUAGCUUGAACAUGUUUGGAGCGAUAAGCGGUUUCGAUUGUGCAAGGGAAAGUGUAGUCAUUGCCGAAUCGGUAGUCGUCGCCGAUGCGAACAAUCUUGUGGAGGUCGUUGCGUAUGGUGUACUCACGGAGGAGUGUGAGGGGGUCCAUGGAAGAUCGAUUAGGGAUUGAAAAUUGUCACUGAAAUUAAGGGGAUUAGAGUAUGUUGGACUAGUAGUUCAUAGAGACUACUGUAUGGAACAAGUUGGC